Molecule: long non-coding RNA, 1603 nt
Organism: Brachypodium distachyon (stiff brome)
Lineage: Eukaryota; Viridiplantae; Streptophyta; Magnoliopsida; Poales; Poaceae
Exons: 3
Source: RefSeq, a predicted model, not a curated record
ACCCUCGCCUUAACCGUCGCGCAUACCCACGUAACGCCGCCGCCACGAUCUCUCCUCGCGUGCGCGUCCGCCCAAUCCCGCCUCCAACUCUCCCACCUCCGUCGCUACGCGCUCGCGUUCCAGCCGCAGUCCCUCUUCCUCACCUUCGCCCAGGUCGACGGCGCCUCCGUUCCGCACGGGGAAACCGCCGAAGCGGCGGCAGCCCCACUCCAAAGAGCCGGCGGCGAGCCCCACAACCCCACACGAUCCAGAUCGAACCGGCGGCUACAGCGCGGGACGACGGCGAGCGCCCACAUUCGUGCUCGUGCUGGAGAAGGAGGAGAUCGAGGAGGACAUCUACGCCCUGACCGGCGCCCGGCCACCGUGGUAUCGCGAGGAUUGAAAGAGACGAAGACCAACACUGAAGGAUCGCGAGGAUUGACAGCGCUCUCUCCGACGUGCUGCCGUACACACUCCAUCAAGCACCUCGACGGGAGCCAGGGAAAGAGGUGGGCAGAUGUCGUAGCAGGGAGAAACGGACGAGGGGGAAAGAGAAGAACAGUACGCGACUCGGUGUUACAAGUGUCGGAUCCUGACAGCAAAGGAGCCAGGGGGAUUAAUUAGAGGACCACCAGAUUAAGAGGGGGAGGAUCCACGAUUCACCUCCAACAAUCAGAUUCGUACAUCUCCAAAUCGAGAUGUUACAAUAAUUUUGCUCUCUGCUGGGAUGAUAUACUUCGAGCUCUUUAUGUAUGGUAUUGAACAAAUGGACAAGUUGAUGAAGCUUAGUACACUGAUUCUAGAGGGCAUGCAAACAUUUGGUAAUCAAGGGUUCGAAUUCGGUCUCAAUUCUCUUUUAGCCGGAACUGCUGAAUCUGUGAGGAUGGUCGACAGACAUGGAUUUCGGCAUGAAUUUGCUCAGGUCUUCAACUUUGGAGGUGGCGAUCUUCUCCAGGUUAUGAUUGGCUCUGCUGAGAAUGUUGUUCUACAAAAUUCAGAAAAUACGGGUUCAACUCCUCCCAUGAGCCCGUGUGGAUUCCAUUUGCUGAAGAUAUUAUUCCUGCUAUUGAUAUGGAGAGUAAAGAGAUUUGGAUUAUACCACUGAUUUGUCUCCUUCCAGAUAUUGGCCACUGCAUGUACAAGAGCUUACAAUUGUAAUGGUAACGAUACGAUUUCUUCAACUGGAUCCAUAACUGGCAGGCCCAAAACCAUGGUGCUGCGGGAGGCCCUGGGAUGAGUAAUACUGGCGCCUGGAUUCGAGGUUGAUUUUUCAAUACCUUGAGUGGAUGCAAUUAUCAGUUGUCGGGAGUUCUGAGACCAUAUAAUGUGAAGCACUGGCAUGGCAAACUAUUUUUCUGUCGCUGCACCUGUAGAUACCUCAAAAUCAAGCAUAUUUCAAAAUUUCUCGGGAUGUUUUCCUUUGGCAUGCUUGAUAGUGCUAUUUCUUAAGUCUGAUGUCACCUCUUAGCUGCUGCCAGAAUGGAUAGGAUUUAUUAGACUUUGGUGAGCUGAAGUGUCAGAUUGUACUUCGAUUUUGAAUUUGGUUGAUCGUACAAGUCUCUGUACACCAAAUGACUUUCUGUUUGAUUUUGAAUUGGAGUACUUGAAUUUGUUUUGUUUGUUC